RNAcentral lists this ribosomal RNA (424 nucleotides) under uncultured bacterium. Its description in RNAcentral is "partial 16S ribosomal RNA". It matches the Rfam family "Bacterial small subunit ribosomal RNA", at positions 360 to 776 of the family's 1533-position model. The record is from RNAcentral.
AAUUUUGGACAAUGGGGGAAACCGUGUUCCAGCCAUCCCGCGUGUAUGAUGAAGGCCUUCUGUGGGUAAAGUACUUUUGGUAGAGAAGAAAAGGUAUCUCCUAAUACGGGAUACUGCCGACGGUACCUGCAGAAUAAGCACCGGCUAACUACGUGCCAGCAGCCGCGGUAAUACGUAGGGUGCAAGCGUUAAUCGUAAUUACUGGGCGUAAAGCGUGUGUAGGCGGUUCGGAAAGAAAAAUGUGAAAUCCCAGGGCUCAACCUUGGAACUGCAUUUUUAACUGCAGAGCUAGGGUAUGUCAGAGGGGGGUAGAAUUCCACGUGUAGCAGUGAAAUGCGUAGAUAUGUGGAGGAAUACCGAUGGCGAAGGCAGCCCCCUGGGAUAAUACUGACGCUCAGACACGAAAGCGUGGGGAGCAAACAGG